RNAcentral lists this ribosomal RNA (502 nucleotides) under uncultured bacterium. RNAcentral's name for it is "partial 16S ribosomal RNA". It matches the Rfam family "Bacterial small subunit ribosomal RNA", at positions 30 to 523 of the family's 1533-position model. The record is from RNAcentral.
AUUGAACGCUGGCGGCGUGCUUAACACAUGCAAGUCGAGCGGUAACAGGUGUAGUAAUACAUGCUGACGAGCGGCGAACGGGUGAGUAAUGCUUCGGAAUCUUCCUCGUAGUGGGGAAUAACCUGGGGAAACUCAGGCUAAUACCGCAUACGAACUACGGUUGAAAGCAGGGGAUCGCAAGACCUUGCGCUAUGAGAUGAGCCGAAGUCGGAUUAGCUAGUUGGUAGGGUAACGGCCUACCAAGGCGACGAUCCGUAGCUGGUCUGAGAGGACGACCAGCCACACUGGGAGUGAGACACGGCCCAGACUCCUACGGGAGGCAGCAGUGGGGAAUAUUGGACAAUGGGGGCAACCCCGAUCCAGCGACGCCGCGUGUGUGAAGAAGGCCUGCGGGUUGUAAAGCACUUUUAGUGGGGAUGAAAGGCCAAGGGCUAAUACCCUUUGGUCUUGACCUAACCCAAAGAAAAAGCACCGGCUAACUCUGUGCCAGCCGCCGCCGUAA